This 460-nucleotide ribosomal RNA is filed under the name uncultured bacterium. RNAcentral's name for it is "partial 16S ribosomal RNA". It matches the Rfam family "Bacterial small subunit ribosomal RNA", at positions 338 to 795 of the family's 1533-position model. The record is from RNAcentral.
CCUACGGGAGGCAGCAGUGAGGAAUAUUGGUCAAUGGGCGAGAGCCUGAACCAGCCAAGUCGCGUGAAGGAUGACGGCUCUACGGGUUGUAAACUUCUUUUGUCAGGGAGCAAUUGGGUCCACGCGUUGGCUUAGCGAGAGUACCUGAAGAAAAACCAUCGGCGAACCCCGUGCCAGCAGCGGGGGUAUUACGGAGGAUGCGAGGUUUACCCGGAUUUAUUGGGUUUAAGGGGUGUGUUGGCGGAAAUUAAAGCACGCGGUAAAGAUUCGGGGCUCAACCCCGUCGUGCCGUUGAAACUGUUGUUCUUGAGUGGGCGAGAAGUAUGCGGAAUGCGUGGUGUAGCGGUGAAAUGCAUAGAUAUCACGCAGAACUCCGAUUGCGAAGGCAGCAUACCGGCGCCCAACUGACGCUGAAGCACGAAAGCGUGGGUAUCGAACAGGAUUAGAUACCCGAGUAGUC